GCCUUGGUGGUGUAGUGGUCAGCACACUCGGCGCGUAACCGAGAGGUCCGUGGUUCGAGUCCUGACGAGGACA
RNAcentral lists this transfer RNA (73 nucleotides) under Stegodyphus mimosarum. It matches the Rfam family "tRNA". From Rfam's summary of the family: Transfer RNA (tRNA) molecules are approximately 80 nucleotides in length. Lineage: Eukaryota; Metazoa; Arthropoda; Arachnida; Araneae; Eresidae. The record is from Rfam by way of RNAcentral.